RNAcentral lists this ribosomal RNA (305 nucleotides) under uncultured bacterium. RNAcentral describes it as "partial 16S ribosomal RNA". It matches the Rfam family "Bacterial small subunit ribosomal RNA", at positions 335 to 658 of the family's 1533-position model. The record is from RNAcentral.
AGCCUACGGGGGGCAGCAGUGGGGGAUAUUGCGCAAUGGGGGGAACCCUGAUGCAGCGACGCCGCGUGGGUGAAGAAGCGUUUCGGCGCGUAAAGCCCUGUCAGCAGGGAAGAAGAUGACGGUACCUGACCAAGAAGCCCCGGCUAACUACGUGCCAGAAGCCGCGGUAAUACGUAGGGGGCAAGCGUUAUCCGGAUUUACUGGGUGUAAAGGGGGCGCAGACGGCGAUGCAAGCCAGGAGUGAAAGCCCGGGGCCCAACCCCGGGACUGCUCUUGGAACUGCGUGGCUGGAGUGCAGGAGGGGC